This 497-nucleotide ribosomal RNA is filed under the name uncultured bacterium. RNAcentral describes it as "partial 16S ribosomal RNA". It matches the Rfam family "Bacterial small subunit ribosomal RNA", at positions 28 to 507 of the family's 1533-position model. The record is from RNAcentral.
GAUGAGCGCUGGCGGCGUGCCUAAUACAUGCAAGUCGAGCGAACAGACGAGGAGCUUGCUCCUCUGACGUUAGCGGCGGACGGGUGAGUAACACGUGGAUAACCUACCUAUAAGACUGGGAUAACUUCGGGAAACCGGAGCUAAUACCGGAUAAUAUAUUUAACCGCAUGGUUCAAUAGUGAAAGACGGUUUUGCUGUCACUUAUAGAUGGAUCCGCGCCGCAUUAGCUAGUUGGUAAGGUAACGGCUUACCAAGGCAACGAUGCGUAGCCGACCUGAGAGGGUGAUCGGCCACACUGGAUCUGAGACACGGUCCAGACUCCUACGGGAGGAAGCAGUAGGGAAUCUUCCGCAAUGGGCGAAAGCCUGACGGAGCAACGCCGCGUGAGUGAUGAAGGUCUUCGGAUCGUAAAACUCUGUUAUUAGGGAAGAACAAAUGUGUAAGUAACUAUGCACGUCUUGACGGUACCUAAUCAGAAAGCCACGGCUAACUACGUG